CCUCCUUUCUCAUGCUUCUUUCUCUUUACCCUCUCCAACCCCUCCCAGUCCCAUUUCCCACUUCUUAGGGCCUGAUUCUCAGCUAGCUGCCACGUACUGCCAAAUGCUAGCCACUAACAGUUCACAGGGCUGUCCCUUCCUGGGGGCACUUUGUAUUUUGUUUCAAUAAAAUUGACUCUGGGGACUUGAGAAUCUUCAAAAAGCCAAUUUAAGGUAUUGCUCAGAGGGUCCAGGUGGUUGCAUGAGGUCAUACGCAGGCCUCUGGAAACAACCAAGGCAUGUACAUAAGUGGGACAAUCACAUCCCGACGUCCUUUUUGAAUAGACACAGGUUGGUGGGUGUGGAACACUGAGAAGUGUCAGCUGGACCCUGCCCAGGAAGCCGGGGGUAAAUGAGAGUGUCUGUCCUGGGUGCUCUAGGGAGGCACACGUGUGAGUAGUUAGCAGUCAGGAUGGUCGGCAGCAGCUGAAUGUUAGGCACUGAGUUACCACUCCUAACCUGCGGAAGAGGAGCCCAGAGUGAAGGCCUCGUUCCUUGGAGGACCCAAGAGCUCUGGACUGCCUGGGGUGUGAGGAACCGGACAUUCAAAACUCUUGGCACUGGGUCUCCCAGCAACAACUUUUGCCUGAGGAAACAACACAGGCCAUGGUACCUGGGGUGUCUCAGUGGUACCUGCAUUUUUCUGAGCAGUUGAUGCGGCUCUUUUCGGUGGGAGAUGACCCUAAAACCUCAUGCAAAUCAAGGAUCAUCAGGCUAUGUGCAACACUCUUCAUGGGCUCCACAUGGUCUGAGCACAUAGACAUGAAAACCCUCCACCCUAUGCUGACUAUGGCAGGUGGAAUAGGAGCAGGAUAACUGCAAUGAGGACUCCCAUUCAGAGAAAAGAAGCAUGGGAACACAUCCGGCACUGGUUCAUGACAACGAUCAGAUGCUGAUGGGCUGGAGGAAGGAGCCCCCCUACCCCGGCAGUGGAGCUUUGUCCAUCGUCCAUGUCUCUGGGCUUUUCCUUCUGGGAGGCUCUUAUCCCCCAUGGCUACCCCUGAAACAGGCAUUGGUGAGAGGGGCCCCUGGGAGCUUCAGAGUGUUCACCUCUACUUCCUGCUGCUGCAGAUUGUGGAUCCCAGCGAUUGUAUUAGGAAGUAACGGUCAUAGUCAAUACUUUUUAUUGUUUGUUCAGUGCUUUCAAAAAAAAAAAAAACUUAGCAGGCUUUCAAUCUAUCUGCUUCUGAUCAGUUUCUUAUAUAAAAUCCACAACUACAGACCUGCAGCCAUCAUUCUAACACUGCAGGGGAACCAGGAGGGACUUGAGAAAGUUAAAUUCAAACUUGCCCUGUGCCUAACCACACUGCAGUUUACUUUGAUGUGAAGACCUUUAGAGUGAUAUGUAAGGGCAUCUCCUCCCAGAGCGCCCCUCUCCCUUUGCAGUCUGGGACUUCAACUGGAAGAUAGACAAUGAAGAUACACACCUGACUUGCUCCCACACUUGCGUCCUUUCUCACCUCCUCCCCGCCAUCCUCCAGACCUGAGAUCAGGGCUCUCCUGUCUGUUCUCCUCUUUAGAUAAAGCUCUAAGGUCAGUUCUGUCAGGCUGGCUUCUUGAUAUAUUACAGAGAAAGUUAAAGACAUCCAGAAUAUCCUUUUUCUUAAUAAAGACUGUCUUUCAAGACCA
This is a long non-coding RNA of Bos taurus (domestic cattle), 1668 nucleotides long. Lineage: Eukaryota; Metazoa; Chordata; Mammalia; Artiodactyla; Bovidae. The record is from Ensembl.